Molecule: ribosomal RNA, 493 nt
Filed under: uncultured bacterium
Lineage: Bacteria
Description: bacterial SSU rRNA
Rfam family: Bacterial small subunit ribosomal RNA
Source: RNAcentral
GAUGAACGCUAGCUACAGGCUUAACACAUGCAAGUCGAGGGGAAACGACAUCGAAAGCUUGCUUUUGAUGGGCGUCGACCGGCGCACGGGUGAGUAACGCGUAUCCAACCUGCCCACCACUUGGGGAUAACCUUGCGAAAGUAAGACUAAUACCCGAUGAUAUCCCUAGAAGACAUCUGAAAGGGAUUAAAGAUUUAUCGGUGAUGGAUGGGGAUGCGUCCGAUUAGCUUGUUGGCGGGGUAACGGCCCACCAAGGCGACGAUCAGUAGGGGGUUCUGAGAGGAAGGUCCCCCACAUUGGAACUGAGACACGGUCCAAACUCCUACGGGAGGCAGCAGUGAGGAAUAUUGGUCAAUGGGCGAGAGCCUGAACCAGCCAAGUAGCGUGCAGGACGACGGCCCUAUGGGUUGUAAACUGCUUUUAUAAGGGAAUAAAGUGAGUCUCGUGAGACUUUUUGCAUGUACCUUAUGAAUAAGGACCGGCUAAUUCCGUG